CAUGCAGUCGAGGGGUAUAGGUUUUCGGAUCUAGAGACCGGCGCACGGGUGCGUAACGCGUAUGCAAUCUACCUUUUACAGAGGGAUAGCCCAGAGAAAUUUGGAUUAAUACCUCAUAGUAUUACGACUCGGCAUCGAAAUGUAAUUAAAGUCACAACGGUAAAAGAUGAGCAUGCGUCCCAUUAGCUAGUUGGUAAGGUAACGGCUUACCAAGGCAACGAUGGGUAGGGGUCCUGAGAGGGAGAUCCCCCACACUGGUACUGAGACACGGACCAGACUCCUACGGGAGGCAGCAGUGAGGAAUAUUGGUCAAUGGGCGCAAGCCUGAACCAGCCAUGCCGCGUGCAGAAUGAAGCAUCUAUGGUGUGUAAACUACUUUUGUACGAGAAGAAACACUCCUUCGUGAAGGAGCUUGACGGUAUCGUAAGAAUAAGGACCGGCUAACUCCGUGCCAGCAGCCGCGGUAAUACGGAGGGUCCAAGCGUUAUCCGGAAUCAUUGGGUUUAAAGGGUCCGUAGGCGGUUUUGUAAGUCAGUGGUGAAAGCCCAUCGCUCAACGGUGGAACGGCCAUUGAUACUGCAAGACUUGAAUUAUUAGGAAGUAACUAGAAUAUGUAGUGUAGCGGUGAAAUGCUUAGAGAUUACAUGGAAUACCAAUUGCGAAGGCAGGUUACUACUAAUGGAUUGACGCUGAUGGACGAAAGCGUGGGGAGCGAACAGGAUUAGAUACCCUGGUAGUCCACGCCGUANACGAUGGAUACUAGCUGUUCGGAGCAAUCUGAGUGGCUAAGCGAAAGUGAUAAGUAUCCCACCUGGGGAGUACGUUCGCAAGAAUGAAACUCAAGGGAAUUGACGGGGGCCCGCACAAGCGGUGGAGCAUGUGGGUUAAUUCGAUGAUACGCGAGGAACCUUACAAGGCUUAAAUGUAGAUUGACC
RNAcentral lists this ribosomal RNA (935 nucleotides) under uncultured bacterium. RNAcentral's name for it is "bacterial SSU rRNA". It matches the Rfam family "Bacterial small subunit ribosomal RNA", at positions 54 to 996 of the family's 1533-position model. The record is from RNAcentral.